RNAcentral lists this long non-coding RNA (941 nucleotides) under Struthio camelus australis. RNAcentral describes it as "lncRNA (ENSSCUG00000001207.1)". Lineage: Eukaryota; Metazoa; Chordata; Aves; Struthioniformes; Struthionidae. The record is from RNAcentral.
UUAGCAAAAAGGCUGGAAUUUGUACCAAGCUCUACAGGCAGAUAUUUGAUCUUUAUUACCUUUGUUUCACCUCCAGAUGUAUAAAGCGAUGGUCUGGGAGUUAGGAUGCUAUGUAAUUCUAGAAGCUUUCUGCAUUCAACUUUCCAGAGUCCUUCAUGGCAUGGCUAAUGUUCUUCAGGCAGUCACAGUACUCCUGCAGCAGUGAGAAAUUCCUGCAAUCUGAAAAAGUGGAGCACACAGUAUCCUUCUGUUUAUACAUGUUAUGAGGUGGUUGGCUGAGAUUCAGGUGAUAAAGCACUGAAAAAGUGUUGUAUUUCAAAAACAAAUGAGCUUGUUGGCCAGCUAUGAACAAUGUACCCAAGAUCUCGGUAGACCAGGAUAGUCACAACAAGAAAAGACUGGCAGGACGCCAAUUAGAUCUCAACGCUCUGGGAGACCAGACGGCACGUGAAGGUGAAGUGUCAGUUCAUGAAAACAAUUAAUAGUGUGUAGGAUUUAAGGGAUCCAUAAUAUCAUUGUUUCAGUAGUAAGAGCAAAUUGCUAGUGUGGAUGUUGCAGUGAAAAUGUCUUCUUGGUGUGCUCCAGAGAAACCCUAAACCAGACAGCUGGGUGAGAAAGGGCUGUGAGAGAGAAAUUCGGGGACAACCUUACAAAACAUUCCUUAAAACCAGUGAUAUGGCCUCAUACCUGUGCGCUAUUUCUCAAAAAGAUAUUGCAGAACUCGACAGGGUUCAGAGAAGAGCAACACAAAUGAUAAAGGCAGAUAAGCGAACUUCUCCGAAGAGAAUUUGAAACCCCCUUUGCUCUCAGGAAGGCCAUAAGAAGUGAGUAUGUCUGUAACGACUGAUCUAAGGAAGAGAGUCGGAAACUAGAGGAUCCUGCUGGUGUCUGGAUACAUGAACAAGAGAGGAGAUUCAAUAAACUGAAAGGCAGAAAAUGCA